RNAcentral lists this ribosomal RNA (423 nucleotides) under Ceratophrys cornuta group sp. ABGD cluster 3. Its description in RNAcentral is "partial large subunit ribosomal RNA". It matches the Rfam family "Bacterial large subunit ribosomal RNA", at positions 1834 to 2439 of the family's 2925-position model. The record is from RNAcentral. Lineage: Eukaryota; Metazoa; Chordata; Amphibia; Anura; Ceratophryidae.
CUUGACAAAAUAUAAGAGGUCCAGCCUGCCCAGUGACUCUGUUUAACGGCCGCGGUAUCCUAACCGUGCGAAGGUAGCGUAAUCACUUGUUCUUUAAAUGAGGACUAGUAUGAAUGGCAUCACGAGGGUUAUACUGUCUCCCUUUUCUAAUCAGUGAAACUAAUCUUCCCGUGAAGAAGCGGGAAUAAAGCUAUAAGACGAGAAGACCCUAUGGAGCUUUAAACAAAAUAACAAUUGCUACUAUCAUUAUCUAUUUCAGAAGUUUAAAUUUUAUCUUAGCAUUAUGAUUAUUAGUUUUAGGUUGGGGUGACCGCGGAGUAAAAAUUAACCUCCGCAUUGAAAGGAUAAUUUCCUAAGCAAAAAGUUACGACUUUAUGCAUCAAUAAAUUGACAUUAAUUGACCCAAUAUUUUGAUCAACGAAC